This 608-nucleotide ribosomal RNA is filed under the name uncultured bacterium. Its description in RNAcentral is "bacterial SSU rRNA". The stretch from base 1 to 532 matches the Rfam family "Bacterial small subunit ribosomal RNA", at positions 338 to 873 of the family's 1533-position model. The record is from RNAcentral.
CCUACGGGAGGCAGCAGUAAGGAAUAUUGGACAAUGGACGCAAGUCUGAUCCAGCCAUGCCGCGUGAAGGAUUAAGGCCCUCUGGGUUGUAAACUUCUUUUAUAGGGGACGAAAAAAGGGCUUUCUAGCUCGACUGACGGUACCCUAUGAAUAAGCACCGGCUAACUCCGUGCCAGCAGCCGCGGUAAUACGGAGGGUGCAAGCGUUAUCCGGAUUCACUGGGUUUAAAGGGUGCGUAGGCGGGCAUUUAAGUCAGUGGUGAAAUCUUCGAGCUCAACUCGGAAACUGCCAUUGAUACUAUUUGUCUUGAAUAUUGUGGAGGUGAGCGGAAUAUGUCAUGUAGCGGUGAAAUGCUUAGAUAUGACAUAGAACACCGAUUGCGAAGGCAGCUCGCUACACAAAUAUUGACGCUGAGGCACGAAAGCGUGGGGAUCAAACAGGAUUAGAUACCCUGGUAGUCCACGCCCUAAACCUAUGGAUACUCGACAUUUGCGAUACACAGUAAGUGUCUGAGNGAAGANAUAUAUCCACCNCGGAGACGACGCGAGUAGAACGUACGAAGAAGUAGACGACGUGAGAGAGACGACGGACGACGACGAGGGAGGAGG